Dermacentor andersoni is the source of this 1415-nucleotide non-coding RNA. The record is from RefSeq and is a predicted model, not a curated record. NCBI's taxonomy places the organism in Eukaryota, Metazoa, Arthropoda, Arachnida, Ixodida, Ixodidae.
AAUGUGCAAAAAAUUUAAAUCUACUAAUUCAGUUAAAACACGGGGAAAACAUGGUGUCAACCACGUGCCAACGCACGCGUGUUAGCCGGCAUGUCAACGGCGUCUGACACGCCGGCUGAGAAAAAGAAGAGGAAAGAAAAAAAGAAGGAUACGCCAAGAAACCAAACUAAGUGUUGUUGCCUAUAGCUUGAAAUUUAGCAUAGCAGAUAGAUUAUAAAGCUCCUUUUGAAAUGUUUAUGCCUAUUUGUUGCAAUGCCUUGAACUUAUAGAUAAGGUAUGAUUCUCUGUAUUUUCUUUCUCGUUCAGAACGGAAAUUUGUGAGAUGUAGAGUUGUCAUUUUCAGUUGUCAUUUCAUGCAGUUCUUGGCGUUGCUCACGAAAUAAAUUUUGAUGUCAGUCACUUUGUGCUGCUAUAAUUAGACGCCAUGUCACAGUGUCAACCUCAAAUUAAUAAAGCAAAUUAGCUUACAGUUUCUAUACAUACUGUCUUCGCAGGAGUUUGAUCUCUGUAUGAAAGCUGCAAAAUGUACUCAAACAAAGCAUAGUUUAAAAAUGUACAAGAAGCAACAUCAUUCUUGUCACUUUUUUAUAUCUUCUUUUUCUUCAAUUCCAUUACGCUUCGCUCCAAAAUUUUGCCCUGAGAAAAACAAAUGCUUGAUCCUCAUAAGGAAAAGAGAAAAGAAGUCACUGAACCUCUUCUUCAUAACUACUGAGUUCCUCAACAUGUCUACGAUUCAACUUUGUAACGCUAGUUCUGUGCAUUACACACCCUGAAAUGCAGACUGAACAUACAAGUGUCCAGGGUACUUAAUCUUCUUUCUUCUUCUAAAUUACCCCAUAAGAUAUUCUGCACAGCCAACGUGGGCUUACAAUAAACUGAUUCCCCUUGACACACUGCAUACAUGUAACAUUUGCUUUAUUUUAUUAUCCUGAUCAGCUUUCAAGUCAUAGAAGGAAAAGGUGGAGAAAGACACACGCAGUCACUUCAUUGCAAGGACAGGUACAGAGACUUGCGGCCACCUGAAAAAGAAGCAUUUCUACUUCGUCUGUCACCGGUCUGGAAGUUAUGCUUCACAAGCUACAAGUAAACAAAAGCUGAAGCGGCCUUCAAGUGUCAAGUGUGGAAAAAGAUGUUUUGCGGCAAUGGCUGUGACUGAAGACAACACAGGUGUGUAUGUGGUUUUCCAAUUCAAGCACAGAGGCCACGACUUUGAACUGGGUCGUGUUUUUCUGUCCAAGUCGGAAAGAGCCGCUAUUGCUGACAAGCUGCGAGAAGGCGUGUCCAUGGAUGCAGUACUGGAUAAUGUGCGGUCCAACGUGGAUGAGACAUUCCACCGCAUUAACCUGUUAAGCAAGUGGGAUCUUCGCAAAAUAAUGAGGGAUGCCAGAGUCUCGAAGACCGAGCGGCUGCACGAU